Molecule: ribosomal RNA, 360 nt
Filed under: Kinosternon creaseri (Creaser's mud turtle)
Lineage: Eukaryota; Metazoa; Chordata; Testudines; Kinosternidae
Description: partial 12S ribosomal RNA
Rfam family: Bacterial small subunit ribosomal RNA
Source: RNAcentral
CUUAGAUAUUUUAAAUACAAAAAAUAUUCGCCAGAGAAUUACGAGCUAAACAUGCUUAAAACUCUAAGGACUUGGCGGUACCUCAAACCCACCUAGAGGAGCCUGUUCUAUAAUCGACAAUCCACGAUUCACCUCACCAUCUCUUGCCAACUCCGCCUAUAUACCGCCGUCACAGCUUACCUUAUGAAAGAUAAAAAGUCAGCAAAAUAAUCUAAAUAAUUAGCAAAUCAGGUCAAGGUGUAGCUUACUGAGAUGGAAGAAAUGGGCUACAUUUUCUAUACUAGAAAUAACUACGGAAAGAUACCUUGAAACAGGUCCUAUAAGCAGGAUUUAGCAGUAAACUGGGAAAAGAGAGCCCAA